RNAcentral lists this ribosomal RNA (905 nucleotides) under uncultured bacterium. RNAcentral's name for it is "bacterial SSU rRNA". It matches the Rfam family "Bacterial small subunit ribosomal RNA", at positions 8 to 924 of the family's 1533-position model. The record is from RNAcentral.
AGAGUUUGAUCCUGGCUCAGGAUGAACGCUGGCGGCGCGCUUAACACAUGCAAGUCGAACGGUUAAUGCACCCCUCGGGGUGCGCAUAAAGUGGCGAACGGCUGAGUAACACGUGGGCAACCUGCCCCCCGCACCGGGAUAGCCUCGGGAAACCGAGGGUAAUACCGGAUACUCCGCCCCCCCUCGCAUGGGAGGGGCGGGAAAGCACAUACGGCGGGGGAUGGGCCCGCGGCCUGUUAGCUCGUUGGCGGGGUAACGGCCCACCAAGGCGAUUAUGGGUAGCCGGGUUGAGAGACCGACCGGCCAGAUUGGGACUGAGACACGGCCCAGACUCCUACGGGAGGCAGCAGUGGGGAAUCUUGCACAAUGGGCGAAAGCCUGAUGCAGCGACGCCGCGUGCGGGAAGAAGGCCCUCGGGUUGUAAACCGCUUUCAGCAGGGACGAGGCGCAAGUGACGGUACCUGCAGAAGAAGCCCCGGCUAACUACGUGCCAGCAGCCGCGGUAAUACGUAGGGGGCGAGCGUUAUCCGGAUUCAUUGGGCGUAAAGCGCGCGUAGGCGGCCCGUUAGGUCGGGAGUCAAAUCCGGGGGCUCAACCCCCGUCCGCUCCCGAUACCGGCGGGCUUGAGUCUGGUAGGGGAAGGUGGAACUCCAAGUGUAGCGGUGGAAUGCGCAGAUAUUUGGAAGAACACCGGUGGCGAAGGCGGCCUUCUGGGCCAUGACUGACGCUGAGGCGCGAAAGCUAGGGGAGCGAACAGGAUUAGAUACCCUGGUAGUCCUAGCCGUAAACGAUGGGCACUAGGUGUGGGGGGACGAUCCCUCCGUGCCGCAGCUAACGCAUUAAGUGCCCCGCCUGGGGAGUACGGGCCGCAAGGCUAAAACUCAAAGGAAUUGACGGGGGCCCGC